Long non-coding RNA from Tachysurus fulvidraco (yellow catfish), 829 nucleotides. RefSeq lists it as uncharacterized. The transcript has 3 exons. The record is from RefSeq and is a predicted model, not a curated record. Lineage: Eukaryota; Metazoa; Chordata; Actinopteri; Siluriformes; Bagridae.
UCCGGUCCAUCCCAGGACACACCUGGCGCUUUAGCUCAGCUAAUCCACCUACUGGCCUGAGACGUUAGAGGAAACACACAUGGACAUGGAGAGAACAUGCACAGAUGAUACUGGGAGCUUGUGAUCAAACUGAGGACCCUGGAGCUAUGUGCUGAUGUACGAAGAUGAGGAAGAUACUGAAAAUCAUCCACGCAUACAGCACUGCAGUGAAUCUGAAUCCGGAGCCUAUCUCACCGAGGUAGGAAAACAUCCUGGAUGGAACUCCAGUGUACAUCGCAGACCACACAUUUCUACCAAAUGGCCAAGUCUGAGUUAUCAAUCUGUUUCAGCAUAUUUUGAGAAGUGAAAGUGAAACGAACAAAUCCAGCAGUGAAGCAAACAAACACAUGGAGAACAUCUUUAAGGUGGUAAAGCUAUCCAGUGCACAACCAUGCAGCCUUUUGACUGUUAAUUUACUUUAAUUUUCACACCGAAAUAGAAAUAAUAAUCACUCUUUUUGAUGUUCAUAAUAAAUGUAAAUCACAGGGGAGAACACAGACUACAAGACUACAUAAGAAGCCAAGCUUCCCUUAAUAUUUCAUUAAAAUGUUCACCAAAGUGAUUAUAUUAUUCCUUAAUCUCUGUGGAAUUCAAUAUUUGAAUUUAUUAACGAUCAAAUAUCUAACUUCAAUAUCGCAGUUUGUUCAUUUGUUCAAAAUCUUCUUUGAAGACAGAGAUAAUACACAGUCAUUGAAGCUUGUACAUCAACUUGUGUGUUAGGUGUUCAUGUAUUCGCUGGACUAUAAAUGGGAUAAACGACGGACGACAACAACUGGAUUUUAAUACAUUC